This 615-nucleotide ribosomal RNA is filed under the name Triticum aestivum (bread wheat). RNAcentral's name for it is "partial small subunit ribosomal RNA". Lineage: Eukaryota; Viridiplantae; Streptophyta; Magnoliopsida; Poales; Poaceae. The record is from RNAcentral.
AUGCCGCGCCACCUGCUGCAGCAGCCCGUCGACCGCCUGGCCGCGAUGGCCGCCGCGCCGGCCGUGGUGGCCGGCGGUGCGACGAGCGUGUACACGGACACGCUGCUCAUCCUGGCGGCGGUGCUCUGUUUCGUGCUCUGCGUGGUCGGGCUGGGGAUGGUCGCGCGCUGCUCCCGCAUGUGCAACCCCUCCGCCUUCUCCGUCGACGCGCCGGGUGCAAUGGCCAAGUCGCCGUGCAAGGGGAUGAAGAAGAAGGCGCUGGAGUCGCUGCCCACCGUGUCGUGGCAGCCGGAGCCGAGGAAGGUGGACGAGGAGCGGCCGGAAUGCGCCAUCUGCCUGGCGGAGUUCACGCGCGGCGACGAGGUGCGCGUGCUCCCGCACUGCGGACAUGGCUUCCACGCCGCCUGCGUCGACGUGUGGCUCCUCUCCAGCUCCACCUGCCCGUCCUGCCGCCGCGCCCUCGUCGUCGCGGCCGCCCAAUCGCCGGCAGCCACCGAGUCUCCCCCUCCCCAGACGUGCCGUGAGCGUGCCGACGUAGUCGCGGCUGCGCAGGCCUCGGCCGCCGGCACAGUGGCCGACGAGUCCGGAGUCCGGACGAGGCGCUUCCACCUCUGA